UACGUAGGCAGCGAGCGUUGUUCGGAAUUACUGGGCGUAAAGAGUGUGUAGGCGGUGCUCUAAGUUCGGUGUGAAAUCUCCUGGCUCAACUGGGAGGGUGCGCCGGAAACUGGAGUGCUUGAGCGUGGGAGAGGAAAGCGGAAUUCCUGGUGUAGCGGUGAAAUGCGUAGACAUCAGGAGGAACACCUGUGGUGUAGACGGCUUUCUGGACCAUAGCUGACGCUGAGACACGAAAGCGUGGGUAGCAAACAGG
Molecule: ribosomal RNA, 253 nt
Filed under: uncultured bacterium
Lineage: Bacteria
Description: partial 16S ribosomal RNA
Rfam family: Bacterial small subunit ribosomal RNA
Source: RNAcentral